Molecule: ribosomal RNA, 440 nt
Filed under: uncultured bacterium
Lineage: Bacteria
Description: partial 16S ribosomal RNA
Rfam family: Bacterial small subunit ribosomal RNA
Source: RNAcentral
CCUACGGGAGACUGCAGUGGGGGAUAUUGCACAAUGGGGGGAACCCUGAUGCAGCGACGCCGCGUGGGUGAAGAAGCGCCUCGGCGUGUAAAGCCCUGUCAGCAGGGAAGAAAAUGACGGUACCUGAAGAAGAAGCCCCGGCUAACUACGUGCCAGCAGCCGCGGUAAUACGUAGGGGGCAAGCGUUAUCCGGAUUUACGGGGUGUAAAGGGGGCGUAGACGGUGAUGCAAGCCUGGAGUGAAAGCCCGGGGCCCAACCCCGGGACUGCUCUUGAAACUGUGUGGCUGGAGUGCAGGAGGGGCAGGCGGAAUUCCUGGUGUAGCGGUGAAAUCCGUAGAUAUCAGGAGGAACAUCAGUGGCGAAGGCGACUAUCUGGCACGUAACUGACGCUGAGGAGCGAAAGCGUGGGUAGCAAACAGGAUUAGAUACCCCUGUAGUC